Labrus mixtus (cuckoo wrasse) is the source of this 1400-nucleotide non-coding RNA. The record is from the annotation of a RefSeq genome assembly. Lineage: Eukaryota; Metazoa; Chordata; Actinopteri; Labriformes; Labridae.
CAGUCCAUUCAUCCAUCCUUCAGCUCCAGUUCAAACAUUGUGGACUUAACAAAUGAAACAACACACAUCACCGUUAAAGGAGAAACAUUCUGAGAGGAAGAAAAAGAGGAAGAGACGCUGAAGUAGAAAUGUGUUUGAGGUUUGAUCCUGGUUCAUGAUUUGUGUAGUUCACCAGCAGACAGGUUUUUGUAUCACGUCUUUUCACUGUGGAGUGUUGAUCUUUGGCUCUGGAACUAGACUCUUUGUUUCAGACGAGGAGCAGGUGGUGAAGCCCGUGGUGAGCGUGUACCCGGCAGCAUCCAGAGGCCGGCUGGAGGAGAAGAGCUCCCUGCUGUGUGUGGCCUCAGCCAUGUUUCCUCCUGUGGUCAGAAUCUCCUGGACACGACAAACGGAGACCGGAUGUUUAGAGGAGCUGCCCUCUGCUGACGGACAGCAGCUGGAGCUCAGAGAGUCUGGAUGUACUGCCUCCGUCUUACAGAUCUAUCAGACAAAGUUCAGCUAUGAAUACAGCUGCUACGUGCAGCACGAGGGGGGAACAGUGGAGGCUCGGAUAGAUACAGCGGAUCCCUCUGUCCCGUCUCCAUACAAGGUGAAGCUGCUCUUGCUGCUCUACACAGUGCUGACAGUGAAGAGUCUGGUGUACUGCUGUGGACUCUUCCUGCUGACCGUCCUCAGGAACAAGAGUCCGUCCACAAACUUCACACAUGCUGGAUGAUUAUGUUUUACUCUAUUUUCCAUCCCACCAUCACCAUAUUAGCGGCGAAGAUGCUUUCUUAAUUAAUCAGGCCCUCAGUCUCUCGUAACAAGCUCUCUUUAUAGUUUCACACACCGCAGAGAAUAAAAUGUACAAGAAGAUAUGAAUAUAAGCACACACAUUAACCAGGAACAAAAAGCUCACAAAGAAAAGUAAACUUGUAAAAAUUCAGUGUGUUGAUUUGUCUGCAGGUUCACUGUUGACCCUUUUAAACGGUGGUGUCAGUGUUGAUGUAGAGCUCUACGCUGAUGAUACUCUUGUUUACAUGUAGAAACAAAACAUGACAUAGCAGCUUCAUCAGUAGAGAGCUGAAGCUGAAUGAUACACAAAACAUGCUGUGUGUUUUUCUUAUUUUAUUUUCUCGUUUAUGGAGGAUUUAAAAUGUUUUUGUUUUGGUAGUGACUUUACAUAGAUUGCUUUUUUUCUGCUAAAUUACAAUAAAAUGUUUUUAACAAAUCAAUACAGAAUCACAAAUUUAGGCGUAAAUUACUAAAGAUCUCAUGUAUUUAAAAUAUAGUGAUUUUACAUUUUAGCUAGUUCACAGUGCGCAUGUAAAAAUGUUUGUUUUUUUAAAGUAAAUGCAAUAAAAAAAAAAUGUAUGUUGAACUGACGAGCUGAAAGAAUAAAGUCGUCUGCAUAUAAUAAA